Long non-coding RNA from Zingiber officinale, 2202 nucleotides. RefSeq lists it as uncharacterized. NCBI's taxonomy places the organism in Eukaryota, Viridiplantae, Streptophyta, Magnoliopsida, Zingiberales, Zingiberaceae. The record is from RefSeq and is a predicted model, not a curated record. The transcript is spliced from 5 exons.
UCCACACUUUUGGCUGGUAAGAGGAUGAUGUUAAGAGAAGAUAAUGAAAAGUACUGGAAGCAGAAUGAACUUCCGCUUAAAUUUUAUGGUGGGCCGAUUCGCACCAAUCCACCACGGCGGCCGAGUUCUACCGGCAGAUCCAGAAAUAUUCGGCCUCUUCUCAUCGGUCGACGCUCCCGUUCUUCGUCCUAUCGAUCUCUUCGAGCGCCAGCGAAGAUAGAGUGAGUCCUCGGCCGGCUUUGGCCAACCUUCCAGGACACCUUUUCUAUCAGGUUGGUGUAACAUGGCCUCAGAACCGAAGGUGCAAAGAGUUGCGAGUUAUAAUCUUGGUCGGUUGCAUCCAUCAUGGCUACCGUUGCAGCUUGGGCUGUGCUGAUGAGAUCAUUGAUAUUCGGCAGCGCAUUAUCGUUUUCAAUGUCGGAUUCUGGCGUUAUGAAGCUGUCUGACACUGUGUCGUCGACCGAAUCCAUGGUCGCUAUGGAUGACAACUUCUUCUGCCAGGAGCUGGCAGGUACUGUCCCGCGGCCUUCCGGCAGAGGUAGUGCACGACGAGCUCCUCGUCGGUGGGGUGGAACCUGAACCCUGGUGGCAAGUUGAGCUCGGCUUCAGCGUCUCGUUUCCUUGCCAUCUUUGUUCUCAAAUAACUCCAAUUCAGAUGCGCCCUUCGUAAAUGGAUGCCGACUGCCGAGGCCGAGUGGGCCCGCGAGGCAACAGGCCCCGGCAUCCAGGCAGCUUCGUGUGCUUUCCAUUAGUCAAAGGCGGCUGACUAUCUUCCAAAGCAUUGUCACCGUGGUGGAGACCACCGUGAGAGCUCGGAUUCCACAGACCUACCUCCAUUACGAAAAUUACAGGUAAUCCAUAAACAUACUUGAAGUAAUUUCUGAUGAACUAUUUUUUUUUAUGCGAUCUAAACUAUUCUUUUUCUUUUUUUUUUCGUUUUAACUGUGGUACUGAAUUCUUUGAAGAGUGUUUCUCGAUGUUUUAUUGGACCGCCAAUCGGAGACACUCUUUGUAAUUCGUAGACAACUAUCACAAUAUUGCCAAAAUGUUGACUACGUUUAACAUAGGGCUAGAGAUUUAGCAUAUUGUUUUCGUUCUCAUUACUUUUUUCGUAUUUGCAGCGGUCAGUUUUUUAGUUUUACCCAUUCAAUGUAACAUCGAGCGGACUGAAUUUCAAAUUUUAGUUGAGUUAUUUCGAAUUUUCUCAAAAAAUUGGUUAUAUUAAUUAAUUCGAUUUAUUUUUUAUUUUAAAUUUUUUUAUUUGAUUAAAUUAAAUAAAUCAAAAUAAAAAUUAAUCCAUAAUUUUUUAAUUAAUUGAAUUAAUCGGUAAUAUUUUUAUAAAUUUAAUUAAUUUGAUUUUCGAAUGUAUUAAUUGCUAUUUUACUGAUAUUGAUUUUUAUUUAAAAAAUUUGAUCAGAUAGUUAGUUUAAAUUUAUUAGAUUUAUUUAAUUUUAAUUAAUUCUGUUACUAAUAUUUUGACCGAAUACUCUGUCUUGAUUUACUUGACUGAGAAAAAGGUGUCCACUCUCUGUUGUUUAACUGAUGCUGCCUGCUUCCCUUUUGCACUUGUUAUUUGUUAAUCAUGGAGGCAUGUCGACGAGAUAUUACAUCUACUGUAGAUCUCUGGACUCGUCGACCGAUGGGACGUGGUAGAUCAGGUCCAUUGAACGAAGGGAAAAAGGUCAAUAAAUGCACGGGAGAAGAAAUACUGAAACAGAUGGUGGGAGACAGAAUGUUUCGCAGUCACACCACCUAGCUUUCCUAGAUUUUGAAAAGCCUGCGUUUCGCGAAUUCGCUGGCUGCGACUUGCACCAGAUACGCCCGGUGCGCUGCAUGUGCCCGGGCGCUGUCCUGCUCACGAGCUCGUGUUUCCACCGCUGGUCUCUUUCUUUGUUGGCACGCAACUGAACUGGCCUUUGACGGCUGAGGAAAUUUUACCGAUUCAACGGGUUUGUUUGGGUCUGUUGAUGUCCGGGCGAGGCAUGCGAGUCGGGGCCAGUUCGGCACCUGAAACUCUGCUGCCGCUGCUCGACUCAAACGCCGUGUUCUGCCGUGCGAGUGUGCAGCGGUGGCAAGCUAUUACACGAGUGGGUUUAGUAAGUUAAGCACAGUGGCCAGUCGUUUUCCUUGACUCAUUUUUUCUGUCACGUGUUCAAUUCAAAUUUACUUGAUAAUAAAGUAAGCAUCCUGAGGUGGAAGGCA